CCUACGGGAGGCAGCAGUGAGGAAUAUUGGUCAAUGGGCGAGAGCCUGAACCAGCCAAGUAGCGUGCAGGAUGACGGCCCUAUGGGUUGUAAACUGCUUUUAUAUAGGGAUAAAGUGAGGGACGUGUCCCUUAUUGUAGGUACUAUAUGAAUAAGGACCGGCUAAUUCCGUGCCAGCAGCCGCGGUAAU
This 189-nucleotide ribosomal RNA is filed under the name uncultured bacterium. RNAcentral's name for it is "partial 16S ribosomal RNA". It matches the Rfam family "Bacterial small subunit ribosomal RNA", at positions 338 to 524 of the family's 1533-position model. The record is from RNAcentral.